AGUCGAACGAGUUCUGAUUAUUGAAAGGUGCUUGCAUCUUGAUUUAAUUUUGAACGAGUGGCGGACGGGUGAGUAACACGUGGGUAACCUGCCCUUAAGUGGGGGAUAACAUUUGGAAACAGAUGCUAAUACCGCAUAAAUCCAAGAACCGCAUGGUUCUUGGCUGAAAGAUGGCGUAAGCUAUCGCUUUUGGAUGGACCCGCGGCGUAUUAGCUAGUUGGUGAGGUAACGGCUCACCAAGGCAAUGAUACGUAGCCGAACUGAGAGGUUGAUCGGCCACAUUGGGACUGAGACACGGCCCAAACUCCUACGGGAGGCAGCAGUAGGGAAUCUUCCACAAUGGACGCAAGUCUGAUGGAGCAACGCCGCGUGAGUGAAGAAGGCUUUCGGGUCGUAAAACUCUGUUGUUGGAGAAGAAUGGUCGGCAGAGUAACUGUUGUCGGCGUGACGGUAUCCAACCAGAAAGCCACGGCUAACUACGUGCCAGCAGCCGCGGUAAUACGUAGGUGGCAAGCGUUAUCCGGAUUUAUUGGGCGUAAAGCGAGCGCAGGCGGUUUUUUAAGUCUGAUGUGAAAGCCCUCGGCUUAACCGAGGAAGUGCAUCGGAAACUGGGAAACUUGAGUGCAGAAGAGGACAGUGGAACUCCAUGUGUAGCGGUGAAAUGCGUAGAUAUAUGGAAGAACACCAGUGGCGAAGGCGGCUGUCUGGUCUGUAACUGACGCUGAGGCUCGAAAGCAUGGGUAGCGAACAGGAUUAGAUACCCUGGUAGUCCAUGCCGUAAACGAUGAAUGCUAGGUGUUGGAGGGUUUCCGCCCUUCAGUGCCGCAGCUAACGCAUUAAGCA
Molecule: ribosomal RNA, 843 nt
Filed under: Lacticaseibacillus rhamnosus
Lineage: Bacteria; Bacillati; Bacillota; Bacilli; Lactobacillales; Lactobacillaceae
Description: bacterial SSU rRNA
Rfam family: Bacterial small subunit ribosomal RNA
Source: RNAcentral